UCUACAGUUGGUCCGCUUCAUGUUCAGACAAACUUUUGAAAUCCUAAAGAGGAGCAAUUGGGAAAGCAGUUCCAUUGGCAAGUUUUUGGAGCUGCUGAAAUCUGACCUCCUGCAAAAAGAGAGCGAGGUGCCGUCUGGAUUGCUGUUGCACAUCAUGGACCUUUACAUGACUGAACUAGCAGCUGUUGGUGCUGCAGAGCUGACUGCCGAACAGAACCUGACUUUUAUAGAACCUUUCUGCCGGAAAGCAGCAAAAACCAAGAAGUAAGUUUUCCUGUGUGCUCAGCCUUAAAAAUGAAACCAAAUUGAUGCUUAAUAGAAGCAAUGCAAUAUGCUGGG
Cyprinodon variegatus (sheepshead minnow) is the source of this 339-nucleotide long non-coding RNA. RefSeq lists it as uncharacterized. The transcript has 3 exons. The record is from RefSeq and is a predicted model, not a curated record. NCBI's taxonomy places the organism in Eukaryota, Metazoa, Chordata, Actinopteri, Cyprinodontiformes, Cyprinodontidae.